Molecule: long non-coding RNA, 547 nt
Organism: Grus americana (Whooping crane)
Lineage: Eukaryota; Metazoa; Chordata; Aves; Gruiformes; Gruidae
Exons: 3
Source: RefSeq, a predicted model, not a curated record
AGGUAGCCAAAUUGUGAUCUGGGCUCACCUGGAAGUAAUGGCCUGUGAACAGCAAUGUCGGGGAUGAAGAUGGCUGGGGACUGUUAAUCACAGUGCUCAGCCACAGCAAUCUACCGCAUUAUCUUCAUAUGCAGAGGCUGUUGCCCGCAGUGACAGAGAGCUCAAGAGCUGGACAGGAGAGAGAGACCCAGAGGUACGUUCCACAUGGCCGCAUGCACGCUUUUCCGAGGCAAAAGGAUCAGCUGAGAAGGACCUAGAAGUAGAGUUAUGAGGAAUUUUCGACAAGGUACUUUUUGUUAGAUACUGGCAUGAGUGUGUGGGUUUUUUUUUUUCCUUUUUGGUGUGAAAAUAUUGAAAUCAAGUAACAAAAUUUGCCAUCAAGAUAGGCUGUAAACAUAUCUGUUACAUAAUACUGGAAUAAUACUCCAUGGCUAAUUAUUUCUAGAUAUUUCUGGAGGUUUACAUCCUUUUUCAGUUAUAUUUUGGUAUGACUUAGGUUCCCAAUUGCUAACCUGUUGCAUCUAAGUGUUUGCCUUAGCAAAGUGAU